GACCGCGUAGCUCAGUUGGAAGAGCAUUGGGCUAGUAUUCCAAAGGUCGUAGGUUCGAAUCCCACCGUUGCCG
Paramuricea clavata is the source of this 73-nucleotide non-coding RNA. The record is from the annotation of a GenBank genome assembly. Lineage: Eukaryota; Metazoa; Cnidaria; Anthozoa; Malacalcyonacea; Plexauridae.